Molecule: transfer RNA, 85 nt
Filed under: Felis catus (domestic cat)
Lineage: Eukaryota; Metazoa; Chordata; Mammalia; Carnivora; Felidae
Rfam family: tRNA
About the family: Transfer RNA (tRNA) molecules are approximately 80 nucleotides in length. Their secondary structure includes four short double-helical elements and three loops (D, anti-codon, and T loops).
Source: Rfam by way of RNAcentral
GCCUGGGUGGCUCAGUCAGUUAAGCGUCUGACUUCAGCUCAGGUCAUGAUCUCACAGUUCGUGGGUUCAAGCCCCGCAUCAGGCU